CCUACGGGUGGCUGCAGUGAGGAAUAUUGGUCAAUGGGCGAGAGCCUGAACCAGCCAAGUCGCGUGAGGGAAGACGGUCCUAUGGAUUGUAAACCUCUUUUGUCGGGGAGCAAAAGACGCCUCGCGUGGCGUUCCGAGAGUACCCGAAGAGACAGCAUCGGCUAACUCCGUGCCAGCAGCCGCGGUAAUACGGAGGAUGCGAGCGUUAUCCGGAUUUAUUGGGUUUAAAGGGUGCGCAGGCGGAAGAUCAAGUCAGCGGUAAAAGUGAGGGGCCAAACCUCUGCGAGCCGUUGAAACUGGUUUUCUUGAGUGAGCGAGAGGUAUGCGGAAUGCGUGGUGUAGCGGUGAAAUGCAUAGAUAUCACGCAGAACUCCGAUUGCGAAGGCAGCAUACCGGCGCUCAACUGACGCUCAUGCACGAAAGUGUGGGUAUCGAACAGGAUUAGAUACCCGUGUAGUC
Molecule: ribosomal RNA, 459 nt
Filed under: uncultured bacterium
Lineage: Bacteria
Description: partial 16S ribosomal RNA
Rfam family: Bacterial small subunit ribosomal RNA
Source: RNAcentral